Molecule: ribosomal RNA, 594 nt
Filed under: Triticum aestivum (bread wheat)
Lineage: Eukaryota; Viridiplantae; Streptophyta; Magnoliopsida; Poales; Poaceae
Description: partial small subunit ribosomal RNA
Source: RNAcentral
CUGCUCUCGCCGGCCGCCCGCGGCUCGGAGUCGCCGCAGUACGUGACGGUGCACGCGGAGUCGGACUUCGAGGUGCGGCACUACCGCGACACCGUCUGGAUGUCCGCCCCCUCCGACGACAUCUCUUUCCACGUCGCCACCAAGCUCGGCUUCCACAGGUUGUUCCAAUACCUGAUGGGCGCAAACCUCAACUCCUCCAGGAUCAGAAUGACGACCCCUAUCCUAACGAGCAUCGUCCCAGGCGCGGGGCCUCUGCACUCUUCGGCCUACUUUGUCGGGCUCUACUUACCAGUAGAAUUCCAAGCUUCCCCUCCUGUCCCUCUCCCGGAGCUGAACCUACAUCCAGAUAGGUGGCCAGGCCACUGCGUUGCUGUCAGGAGCUUCUCUGGCUACGCACGCGACCACAAUGUCGUCGAGGAAGCUGAGAAACUCGCAGUGAGCUUGAGCCGGACACCGUGGGGGAACUCCACAAAUCACCCUAGGAAGAACGCCUACUCGAUCGCACAGUACAACAGCCCCUUCCGCAUCGUCGGCCGUGUCAAUGAAGUGUGGUUCGACGUCGAGUGCAGAUCUGCUGGUGUGGAGACUUAUUAA